GGUCGCUUAGCUCAGUUGGGAGAGCAUCGCCCUUACAAGGCGAGGGUCACUGGUUCAAGUCCAGUAGCGACCACCA
RNAcentral lists this transfer RNA (76 nucleotides) under Paraglaciecola sp. RNAcentral's name for it is "tRNA-Val". It matches the Rfam family "tRNA". Rfam says of the family: Transfer RNA (tRNA) molecules are approximately 80 nucleotides in length. Lineage: Bacteria; Pseudomonadati; Pseudomonadota; Gammaproteobacteria; Alteromonadales; Alteromonadaceae. The record is from RNAcentral.